Harpia harpyja (harpy eagle) is the source of this 1524-nucleotide long non-coding RNA. RefSeq lists it as uncharacterized. The transcript is spliced from 4 exons. Lineage: Eukaryota; Metazoa; Chordata; Aves; Accipitriformes; Accipitridae. The record is from RefSeq and is a predicted model, not a curated record.
GCCAGAGGAGAAGGAUGUGACGGGUUCCUCCAGCGGGAUUAUUUGGGACGUGGAUCUGACCGGACGCCGUCAGCCUCCCCAGGCCUGAGCCGCGGUCAGGAUGCGACCAUCUAACCGAACUUGCCUUCCUUCGCAAGGAGCCGACGCGUGAUCCCGGCCGGCCGUCUCCAACCGAGACGUACUCGAGUUAAACAGAUAAAGCUGGAAAGUAACCUGGCGCACUGGAUGCAAAGACAGAGGAAGGCGCAACAGUGGCUUGUGGAGCUGCAGGCCCCGCGUUCUUCAUUGCCAUCCCUGUGAAAACUCAACCUGCAGCGAGAAGCUCCUGGGAUUGCUCCUGUCCCAUGGCCAGGUGCUUGGUGGCUUGAACGUCUCCUGUCUGUCAAAAACCUGAAUUCCAGUCUGAGGAUCAUAUUCAAACCCCCUGCUUUUCAGCUAGAAUCAUAGAAUCACAGAAUGGUUUGGGUUGGAAAGGACCUUUUUUGAAGGUCACCUAGUCCAACCCCCCUGCAAUGAGCAGGGACAUUUUCAACCAGACCAGGUUGCUCAAAGCCCCGUCCAGCCUGACCUUGAAUAUUUCCAGGGAUGGGGCAUCUACAACCUCUCUGGGCAACCUGUUCCAGCAUCUCACCGCCCUCAUUGUAAAAAAUUUCAGAUCCAGGGGAACUUGUAACCUUGUCUGUCCAGGAGACAGAGGGUUUCUCAAGGACCAGUCCAAGACCCAAUGGCAGAAAUUCCCCAAGGAGAGUCACAGACAUACUUCUUUCUGCUCUCCAUUUAAGCUGUGCUUCCUGGUGCUGACUUCUCUAGCAAACAUCCAGAAGCACCUUAAAAAUAAAACACCAAAGUGAAAGAAGCCACUGAACAAGCAGACCUUCCAUGGGCAAGAGGAUGAGAGCGAGCAAGCAAACCACAUGUGACAGAUGUUAGGCGUGUUGCUGAAUGCAAUUCUGGAAGCCGCUCAGAUGCUGUGGUCAGGUGGGUGGUUGUUACAAACCUAUCUGGGCUAGAAAAGAGAAACAUUUCUCUAGCAAAUGAAAGAUAUCUGGUAGAGAAAGCACUGAGAGAUAAUAAACAUGCGGCAGAGAACUGCCGUUUGGGGAAAGGCUUUUUGGGGUGAAGCCGCGUCAUCGUGGUGCUUUCUAAGUAAGCGCCCCGUCACUUCAGAGUUGGGGAGGACAAGAUGCGCUCGUGGCAGCGUUACUGAGGCAGGCACCAGGCACGUGAAAGGCAGACCUGCCGUACCUCAGAGUACAAACUGGGCCCUACUAUCACGACAGCCUGCUUUUAACUGAACAGCCAGAUACUUCUGAGGGGGCUUUUCCCCCCCCCCCCCAGUUCCUGGGUGUCCUGCAUGGGUUUUGCGUGAAGCCCCGAAUGAGUGUUGUGAAUACUCGCUUUGAGGGAGGGUGCUUUGUGCUUGCUCUUCAGUUCGUCUCUUCGUCGGCUAAACAGUUCAGUGCACUGAACUCUUCUUUCUGUAGACUCUGUGCGCCUUUCGAAAAAGAAUAAAAAGAUUGUUUG